Molecule: ribosomal RNA, 1141 nt
Filed under: Micromonospora sp. VITSDK3
Lineage: Bacteria; Bacillati; Actinomycetota; Actinomycetes; Micromonosporales; Micromonosporaceae
Description: bacterial SSU rRNA
Rfam family: Bacterial small subunit ribosomal RNA
Source: RNAcentral
UGACACAUGCAAGUAGCGGAAGCCUUCGGGACUCGAGGCGAACGGGUGUAACAGUAGCAACCGCCCCAGCUUGGGAAACCCGGAAACGGGGCUUACCGAUUGACCUCGAUCGAUGGUGGUGUGGAAGUUUUCGCUUGGGAUGGGCCGCGGCCUUCAGCUUGUGGGGGGUGUGGCCUACAAGGCGACGAGGGUAGCCGCCUGAGAGCGACCGGCCAACUGGGAUGAGACAGGCCCGACCCUACGGGAGGCGCAGUGGGGAAUAUUGCACAUGGGCGGAACCUGAUGCAGCGACGCCGCGUGAGGGAUGACGGCCUGGGUUUAACUCUUUCAGCAGGGACGAAGGUAAGUACGGUACUGCAAAGAAGGCCGCCAACUACGUGCCAGCACCCGGUAGACUAGGCGCGAGCGUUGUCCGGAUUAUUGGGCGAAAGAGUCGUAGGCGGCUUGUCGCGCGACUGUGAAAACCCGCAUUCCUGGUGUAGCGGUGAAAUGCGCAGAUAUCAGGAGGAACACCGGUGGCGAAGGCGGGCCUGGGCCGAACUGACGCUGAGAGCGAAAGCGUGGGGACGACAGAUUAGAUACCUGGUAGUCCACGCUGUAAACUUGGCGCUAGUGUGGGGGGCCCUCCGGUUCCCUGUGCCGACUAACGAUAAGCGCCCCGCCUGGGGAGUACGCCGCAAGUAAAAUAAAGGAAUUGAGGGGGCCCGCACAAGCGGCGGAGCUGCGGAUAAUUCGAUGCAACGCGACUGAGAACCUUACGGUUUGACAUGGCCGCAAAACUGUCAAGAGGCAGGUCCUUCGGGGCGGUCACAGGUGGUGCAUGGCUGUGUCAGCUCGUGUCGUGAGAUGUUGGGUUAAGUCCCGCAACAGCGCAACCCGUUCGAUGUUGUGGCGGGGACUCAUGAAGACUGCGGGGGAAGGGGGUGAGUCAAGCAUCAUGCCAGGGUUCAGCAUGCUACAUGGCCGGACAAUGGCUGCGAUACGUGGGUGGAGCGAAUCCAAUCGGGCUGCGUGAAGUCGGAGUCGCUGUAUCGCAAUCAGCAACGCUGCGGUGAAACGUUCCGGGCCUUGUACACACCGCCCGUCACGUCACAAAGUCGGCAACACCGAAGCGGUGGCCCAACCCUUGUGGAGGGAGCCG